This is a long non-coding RNA of Hydra vulgaris (swiftwater hydra), 1240 nucleotides long. RefSeq lists it as uncharacterized. The record is from RefSeq and is a predicted model, not a curated record. Lineage: Eukaryota; Metazoa; Cnidaria; Hydrozoa; Anthoathecata; Hydridae.
UUGAGAUAUUUGUAUGUUAUAUUUACUCACUGAUUCUUAUUUACCCACUGAUUUAAUAAGAAAUAAAUUAUUGUAACUAGUUGUUGUGCAGUUGGUUACUCAAACAAAUUUAAAAAUGAAUGUGGAUUGAAGUUUUAUAAAUUUCCAUCAGGAAAAUCGUCUUUUGAGAAAAGAAGACGUAUAGACUGGAUUAAAGCUAUUAAUAAUAAGCAUUGGGACAGUUAGGAAAAUAAAAAAAUUAGUAAAGAACGAGUAUGCAGGGCACAUUUUGUAUCAGGAAAACGUUCAAAUGAUACAUCUGACAUUGACUGGAGUCCAUCUUUUAAUCACCUUGGAGCUGCUCUGAUUUUUAGUUUGAUUAAAAAAAGGAAGAGAAAAGAUUGCUAUAAAGCUUUAUGUAAAAAACAAUUUUUCAAAAAAUCAAUACUUCCAUCUAGCCAAUCAAAUGAUAUAGAGCUCGAUAACUAUAACGAUAAUAUAAAUAUUGGCAUAAAUUCACUAAAUGAAGAGUCGGUAUUAGUAUUUCUAAACUUUUUCAGCAUGAUACUUAUAAAGCAAAAACUCUUAACUUUCAGUUAAUUCAAUACAAAAAUGAAUUGAUUAAGAAAUCUAAUAAAAUGAUUGAAAUUAAAAAAAGUAAUCCCAGACUAAACCAUAAUUAAGAUAUUUCAUACCAUAACCUAACUGAGCUAAUAAGGAGUAGGAGUGUUAUAAAAAAAUAGUUUAAAGACUAUAACUGUAUUAUUAAUUGUACCACAGUUUUUAUUGAAAGACCAAAAAAUUUAAUUUUACAAUCACUAACUUGGUCUAAUUAUAAACAUUUCAAUACCAUUAAAUAUCUUAUUGGUACUGCACCACCUGGGGCAGUUAGUUUUCAGACAGACAAAUAACGUUUGAGUCAAACUUUUGUCAGAAGCUUAAUCCUGGCAACUUUAUUCUUGCUGAGAGAGGACUCAAUAUUAAAGACAAACUAAAUGCUAUUGGGGCAACGUUAAAAAUUCCAGUAUUUACGAAAGGUAGACAACAAUUAUCUGAAUGGGGAGUGGAAACAUCUAAACAGAUAUCUAGUUUUUACAUACAUGUGGAAUGAGACACUGGUCAAAUAAAAAGGUUUUGCAUUAUUCAUAUAACUGUGCCAAUCACUCAAAUGGAUUUAUUAGAUGAUAUUAUGAUUAUUAUUUAUGCUCUUGUAAAUCUCAAUAUGAGUGUCAGGGGCGGAUCUAGAAUUUAUUUCUCCUUU